This 445-nucleotide ribosomal RNA is filed under the name uncultured bacterium. RNAcentral describes it as "partial 16S ribosomal RNA". It matches the Rfam family "Bacterial small subunit ribosomal RNA", at positions 354 to 796 of the family's 1533-position model. The record is from RNAcentral.
GUGAGGAAUAUUGCGCAAUGGAGGCAACUCUGACGCAGCCAUGCCGCGUGCAGGAAGAAGGCGCUACACGUUGUAAACUGCUUUUAACCGGGAAGAAACCCCAGGACGUGUCCUGGGUUGACGGUACCGGAGGAAUAAGCACCGGCUAACUUCGUGCCAGCAGCCGCGGUAAUACGAAGGGUGCAAGCGUUAUCCGGAUUCAUUGGGUUUAAAGGGUGCGUAGGCGGAGCGUUAAGUCAGUGGUGAAAUCCUGCAGCUUAACUGUAGACUUGCCAUUGAUACUGGCGCUCUUGAGUGCGCUUGAAGUGGGCGGAAUGUGCCGUGUAGCGGUGAAAUGCUUAGAUAUGGCACAGAACACCAAUUGCGAAGGCAGCUCACUAAGGCGAUACUGACGCUGAGGCACGAAAGCGUGGGGAUCGAACAGGAUUAGAAACCCUAGUAGUCC